Betta splendens (Siamese fighting fish) is the source of this 2379-nucleotide RNA transcript. It is a transcript of the gene named GRAM domain-containing protein 2B-like, with no coding region annotated. The transcript has 13 exons. Lineage: Eukaryota; Metazoa; Chordata; Actinopteri; Anabantiformes; Osphronemidae. The record is from RefSeq and is a predicted model, not a curated record.
CUUACUGUUUUUGCACCCGUCAAAGCAAUUGCAGACUUACAGGAAGCCGCAAACGUCGCACACAACCCGUUUCACUGGAGAGAAGUGAAGAUUUGAGCGAUUUUAAGCAUCGAUGUCCUGAAGCGCAUAGACCUGCGCAUGUACUCGAGUUCAUUCUGCAGCAUGAGUUUCAAAAACAGGAAGUUCUCCCUGGACAGCUCUUUCUCUGCAGACGGAGAUGGAGUCCUGGUCGUGCGUAAGAGCAGCAGCAGCAGGUUCAGCGGCAAGAAGCCGAAGCCGAGCCUGGAUGACGCCCGAGCCGAGAUCCAGGAGCUCCACCGUGACCUCAACGCCAACGUGUCCCAGAGGAAGCCGGCCGCGGCAGAAGACGGCCCUGAGCGAUCAGAUGAGCUUAUCAGCAGUCAUAGCUUCCAGAAGCUCAACAAAUCCUUUCACAAACUGUUCCCAGAUAUUCCUGAGGGGGAGAGCCUAAUACAGAGCUUCACCUUCGCCCUGCAGAAGGAGAUCCUCUAUCAUGGAAAACUCUUUGUUUCUGAAAACCACGUGUGUUUUCACUCGUCUGUUCUUCUUAGAGACACCAAGGCAGCGAUUCCUGUAUCCAGCAUCACGGAGGUGAAGAAGCACAACGCAGCCUUGUCCAUGCUCACUAUUCACACUGCCAGUGAGAAGUUCUCGUUCGUGUCUCUGAGGAACCGGGACCUGUGCUACAAGCUCCUCCGCAGCGUCUGCUCACACGCACAGCAGCGCGAGAGGCCGGGCAGCGGCGGCCGCCAGACGCCGACCGCGGAGGACGACGCCGGCGGCGACGUGGCCUUCAGUUCCUCCAGUCUGGACGACAACACAGAUCAGGAUCUGAGCAAACAACAGGGCUUCCACCUGGACAAUGGCUUCGCUCAUGUGCCCGGUAGAGGCCCCACCAGAUAUGAUUCAAGCGUAACCGAUGACGGCAGAGCCACCGUGUCCUGGCUUCAGAGCUUCAUUGAGACGGUCGCAGACUUCGAGCAUAUGAGCAUGUUCUUCUACAUCUAUGUGAUGCUGAUGGUGGUGCUGGUGCUGGUGUCGGGCUACAUCGGGCUGAGGAUCGUGGCCCUGGAGGAGCAGCUGAACUCGCUGGGGGCGCUCACAGAGCUGUCUCUACAGUACAGAGAGUGAGUAGGAGCACAAACGCAAACAAAAAGGGAGCGCUUCAGUAAAAGCGACGCACGAGGAAUUUCGCCCGGGACGAUGGCGAAAACACGAGAUGGUUUAAACCGGUUCUGUUGACUCUAAAACCAUUAUGUGCAAAUCAGACAAGGAGCAGUUCUACAGGUUCACUGUGGACAAAAGCAACGUCAUUACAGGAAACACUGGAAAUGUUCUACUCACAAAGAGAUUCCUGAACAUAAGUUUCUGGCAUCAAGAAACGUAGCCGGUGGCGGAGACCUCAGGAAUCCUUCCAGGAACUGAUGCAAUGUCUCACUGUAUUACAAGCCCACUGUACAUUAAUCCUCAUCCAGACUGACUCUCAGUGCUGAGACUGCAUGCGGAGCCUGUCAUCCAGGAAUGUGUGUCAGUCCUAUUAGCAGCAGGUCGUACAUGGAACCCAUGGGAUGCGUGGAGUAGACCGCACAAGGUGAACUCCACGCGUGACAGCCCGCGCUGGCGGGGCGGCACAUUACUUUCUGUCCGCUUCUCUGCUGACGCCUCAGAAACGGAGGCGAGGCGCUCCUGCUCGGAGCCAUAUGGAGGCAGCCUGCUGAAGCCAUGUUUAUUUCCUGGCUGCUGAACAGCUGAGCUCAGCUCCAGCAGCAGAGGUUGUUUUGGCCAGUCAACACAACCUGCUGCUGUGAGGACACGUCAGGGGUUAAGACGAUGACUUAAGCACUUUGCUGACUUAAAUUUAUUACACGCUAUGAAUUUGAGGGCUCAUACUGUGUAAUAUGGAGUUUGGCACGUUGCAGACUGUUAAUGACGGUGGUUGACCACAAGAGGGCAGCAACUCCUAAUAAACUCAUCCAUGUGACAAGACAAAGACUAAAUGUUAGUCCUAAAAAUACUCAGGCCAGUUGAUAAAUACUUAUAUUUUACAACUAAGGUUCCUUUACAUUUUUAGCCUCAAAUUUCCAUAUCUUUAAAAUAUGAUAAUCAUUGCACAAUAAUGCUUAUAAAAUGUUUCAAUGAAAAAUAUUUGAAAAUCCAUCAGUUUUGUUAUUUGAUGGACAUAAGCAUGUCAGGCAUUCACUUUGUACAUGAAAAACAUGUUUUAUAAUAUAAAUGAUAAGAUAUUGUAAAGACCAUAACUUAAACACUGGUUGUUUAAAAACAAUGCUUCAACCAUCAUAUUUUUGUACAUACGUGAUCUUUUUAUUAUUUUGUUGUCAAUAAAAAGGUCAAGAUUCA